GACGAACGCUGGCGGCGUGCUUAACACAUGCAAGUCGAACGGAAAGGCCUGCUUUCCCUUGUGGAUUGCGGGUACUCGAGUGGCGAACGGGUGAGUAACACGUGAGUGAUCUGCCCCCAACUUGGGUAUAAGCCUGGGAAACUGGGUCUAAUUCCCGAUAGGACUGCAGGGUGGUGCCUGUGGUGGAAAACGAUUUUCUAGUGGUUGGGGAUGAGCUCGCGGCCUAUCAGCUUGUUGGUGGGGUAAUGGCAUACCAAGGCGGCGACGGGUAGCCGGCCUGAGAGGGUGGACGGCCACAUUGGGACUGAGAUACGGCCCAGACUCCUACGGGAGGCAGCAGUGGGGAAUAUUGCACAAUGGGCGGAAGCCUGAUGCAGCGACGCCGCGUGGGGGAUGACGGCCUUCGGGUUGUAAACUCCUUUCGACCGCGAGGAAGCCACCUGGUUGGAAGGGUGGUGACGGUAGUGGUAGAAGAAGCACCGGCUAACUACGUG
Molecule: ribosomal RNA, 494 nt
Filed under: uncultured bacterium
Lineage: Bacteria
Description: partial 16S ribosomal RNA
Rfam family: Bacterial small subunit ribosomal RNA
Source: RNAcentral